UACAGAGGUCUCAAGCGUUGUUCGGAUUCAUUGGGCGUAAAGGGUGUGUAGGCGGUUCCUUAAGUUUGCUGUGAAAUCUCCCGGCUUAACCGGGAGGGUGCGGUGAAUACUGAGGGACUAGAGUACGGGAGAGGAAAGUGGAAUUCCUGGUGUAGCGGUGAAAUGCGUAGAUAUCAGGAGGAACACCGGUGGUGUAGACGGCUUUCUGGACCGUAACUGACGCUGAGACACGAAAGCGUGGGUAGCAAACAGG
RNAcentral lists this ribosomal RNA (253 nucleotides) under uncultured bacterium. Its description in RNAcentral is "partial 16S ribosomal RNA". It matches the Rfam family "Bacterial small subunit ribosomal RNA", at positions 524 to 776 of the family's 1533-position model. The record is from RNAcentral.